This 468-nucleotide ribosomal RNA is filed under the name uncultured bacterium. RNAcentral's name for it is "partial 16S ribosomal RNA". It matches the Rfam family "Bacterial small subunit ribosomal RNA", at positions 28 to 507 of the family's 1533-position model. The record is from RNAcentral.
GACGAACGCUGGCGGCGUGCUUAACACAUGCAAGUCGAACGGAAAGGCCCUGCUUUUGUGGGGUGCUCGAGUGGCGAACGGGUGAGUAACACGUGAGUAACCUGCCCUUGACUUUGGGAUAACUUCAGGAAACUGGGGCUAAUACCGGAUAGGAGCUCCUGCUGCAUGGUGGGGGUUGGAAAGUUUCGGCGGUUGGGGAUGGACUCGCGGCUUAUCAGCUUGUCGGUGGGGUAGUGGCUUACCAAGGCUUUGACGGGUAGCCGGCCUGAGAGGGUGACCGGCCACAUUGGGACUGAGACACGGCCCAGACUCCUACGGGAGGCAGCAGUGGGGAAUAUUGCACAAUGGGCGGAAGCCUGAUGCAGCAACGCCGCGUGCGGGAUGACGGCCUUCGGGUUGUAAACCGCUUUCGCCUGUGACGAAGCGUGAGUGACGGUAAUGGGUAAAGAAGCACCGGCUAACUACGUG